AGAGUUUGAUCAUGGCUCAGAAUCAACGCUGGCGGCGCGCCUAACACAUGCAAGUCGAACGAGAAAGGGGAGCAAUCCCUGAGUAAAGUGGCGUACGGGUGAGUAACACGUGGGUAAUCUGCCUCUUAGUGGGGAAUAACCCUGGGAAACCGGGGCUAAUACCGCAUAAGCCCGAGAGGGGAAACGCGAAAGCGGCUGAGAGAGGAGCCCGCGGCCGAUUAGCUAGUUGGUAGGGUAAAGGCCUACCAAGGCAGAGAUCGGUAGCCGGCCUGAGAGGGCACACGGCCACACUGGCACUGAAACACGGGCCAGACUCCUACGGGAGGCAGCAGUGGGGAAUCUUGCACAAUGGGGGAAACCCUGAUGCAGCGACGCCGCGUGAGCGAUGAAGCCCUUCGGGGUGUAAAGCUCUUUCGGCAGGGAAGAUGAUGACGGUACCUGCAGAAGCAGCUGCGGCUAACUACGUGCCAGCAGCCGCGGUAAUACGUAGGCAGCAAGCGUUGUUCGGAGUUACUGGGCGUAAAGGGUGUGUAGGCGGUUUGGUAAGUCUGGUGUGAAAUCUCCCGGCUCAACUGGGAGGGUGCGCCGGAAACUGCCGGACUCGAGUGCGGGAGAGGAGAGUGGAAUUCCUGGUGUAGCGGUGAAAUGCGUAGAUAUCAGGAGGAACACCGGUGGUGUAGACGGCUCUCUGGACCGUAACUGACGCUGAAACACGAAAGCGUGGGUAGCAAACAGGAUUAGAUACCCUGGUAGUCCACGCCCUAAACGAUGCAUAUUUGGUGUGGGUCAUUCAGUUGAUCCGUGCCGGAGCUAACGCGUUAAAUAUGCCGCCUGGGGAGUACAGUCGCAAGGCUGAAACUCAAAGGAAUUGACGGGGCCCGCACAAGCGGUGGAGCAUGUGGUUCAAUUCGACGCAACGCGAAGAACCUUACCUGGGCCUCGAACGG
Molecule: ribosomal RNA, 947 nt
Filed under: uncultured bacterium
Lineage: Bacteria
Description: bacterial SSU rRNA
Rfam family: Bacterial small subunit ribosomal RNA
Source: RNAcentral